Molecule: long non-coding RNA, 2565 nt
Organism: Thalassophryne amazonica
Lineage: Eukaryota; Metazoa; Chordata; Actinopteri; Batrachoidiformes; Batrachoididae
Exons: 2
Source: RefSeq, a predicted model, not a curated record
GACAACACCUCACAUUCAUCCAUUCUCACACCGAUGUCAGCAAACUGCUGUACAAGGACCUUAGUAAUUUUCCUGUCUGACGGGGAAGUGAACUGAGGAUCCUCCGGCCACAAGCACAAACAUUUAGACCAUCAACUCCCCAGCUUCUGUGAAAUCCUGACGACACACUUGUCAUGAAAUUCCAUCAUGUUGGACUGCAAUGCGUGGAGAAGGUAAUCUUUUUUUAAGUAGUAAGACCUAUAUAGGCCCCUAAGGUCCAUCAGACAGGUGCUUUUCCCUGGAUUCUAUAGUGUGAGAAGCAGGUGAGAGUCUUCGAAGGCAGCGUCCUAUGAAGUUCUGGCCUUCCAAGACCGUGGAGACAGAACUCAACGUUCUAAAAUGAGAUGGUCUCACUCAUGGAGCAUUUUGCGAUCGCAUCAUUAGCUUGUCCCAUCACGUACACAUGACAAGCUAGCAGAGAGGUCAUAAGAUUGUUUAUUUAUAUUUUUACUUAAAUUGGAGUUGCAUCAGGAAGGGCAUUCCUUGUAAAACUUUUGCCAAAUCUCAAUGCAGUUCUGUGCUGGACCCACUGUGGAGACUCUAAACAAACCUAUUUUUAAUUGUACAUAUGAGGUCUAAAAUUGCCCUUUAUUUUUUACUUUUGGAAAUGUGAUCCCAUCAGACCAUCAGAGCCCAAAAUCCACGGAAGACCAACGGAUUGAGCGACAUUUGCCACCGGAUAAAUUAUUACUUACACUCACUAAUCAGUUUACUCAAUCCAUCAUACUGUGACUCUAAGUAACCGCUCGUUUCAUGCAGUCAUUCCAAUGAUCCAUGAUCCUCUGAAGAGAAAAAUAGAAAAAAAGAGGCAAGAAAUAGAAGAAUAACCAAGACUCAUGAGAAGGUAGUGUAUAUUGUUGGGAUCGCUUUCAUGUUUGUAAUGCUUUCAGUUUAUAAGUAACCACUCUGCUGACGAGGAUUGAUUACUCCACUGUCAACAGGGUACUUUUGUAUUUGUAGCUACAAAUUUUAAUAACCAUAUAAUUCCCUACGAAGUGGUGAUGUAGUGGUUAGAGUGAAGAUGCAAGACCAGAGGAGCGUGAUUUUGAUUCCUCAUGACUGCGUCAGGCCUAGUGAGCCGGCCACUGGAUACAACCUGCUGAAGGGUGGGCCUUGUGGAGGUUGUUGACUGACAAGCCAAUUGGCCUACAGCCUGAGCAGGUGAGCAUAAAACCCUAUAUAGAUACAGAGGCUCAUUAGUGUCGAUGCUUAUCCCCAGAUUUUGUAGUGUGAAACAUGAGAAUCAAGGAGUCCCCUUGGGCAUAAUACAAGUCCAUCUCAAGUUACUUCCUCAGCUGAGGCUGGAAUCUCUUUACAGCUGGGUGGACUGAGAAACCAAGAAUGAAAUAUCUUGUCCAAGGGCACAAACAGCACAACCAGGAAUCAAACCCUUGUCUAUGUAUUGGUAGUCCAACUCCUUAUCUUCAACCCUUGGUUUCCUGUGGGAAAUGUGACCCUCCUGAUUUCUCUGUGUCCAUUGGUCUGUGGACAUGAUCAUUCAUGAUAUGAUGGAAGGAUUGAGGUAAAUACUUUUUAGGGAUACAUUUUGGUGGAUUUCAGGAUGAUCUGUACCAGAAUAGAAAAUGCAAGUUUUUUCACCAUCCAUGGUUUUGCAUGAAAAUGAAAAGCCCCUUCAAUGUUUUUAUAUGUUGUAGCUGACACACAGGGCUACAUUUUUCAUAAUGGUGUCAAAGAGGUUGGGCGUGUCCCACACUGUCAAUUUCAAGGUCAAAAUAUGGUUCAAAAGGUCAUCCAAGUCAAAAAUAUCCAAAUGCACGAACAAAGAUUUAGAUUCCUUGUGGUCUCUCCUUUAGAGAAAUACCUUGUUUUUCAAAAUCGAACCAGUGAUUCCCGAGUUACAGCAAUUUGAAACUUGGCGACCAUGCCAUUUUUUGCAAAAAAGUUAAAUUGCAAUAUCUUGAAAACCAUCGGUCCGAGAAAGACAAAAAAUGAAAUUCUGGCGUUUCUGGCCAUGAAUUACAUUUAUACCCAAUUUCAUAGAAAUUGGACGGGGUGAGGUUGAAUUCAUUGGGUGAACUGAGCUGGAUUGACCCUAUACACAAUUUCAUACCACAGUCGAUAAGCUAUACCGAGGGUCACCCUGAACCUGGAGGUCACCUACCUUGCAUGGUUUCCAUGUACCUACUGCAAGCACAGCUGAUGAGCCAAGUCUGGUGUUUGCUCGUUUUUGAUUGUUAGAGCACACCGAGUUAGUUAGCUACAGUGGGCGGAACCAGAAGAGUUUGAACACAUGCAGGGGAAGUAACCUCUGAGCUAUGUAAUGGUGCAAACUAUGUUUAAAGUAAACAGAAGAGCAGAAAUGUUGGUUAAAAUACUGUAAUGUACAUUUCCCAAAAUGUAGAUAAAAAAUGGUUCUUGUGUUUUGCACCAUGUGCCACUGACCAGUCAAAGAUAAUGUGCCACCAGCGUAAAAUCUGGUCAUUUGUGCCGAUCUACCAGUAUUGUCCUUCACUACAGUACGUUACAGCAUAAUGAUGUGUGCACGUGAAGAAAAUACCAGUUCAA